This is a long non-coding RNA of Oncorhynchus tshawytscha (Chinook salmon), 350 nucleotides long. NCBI's taxonomy places the organism in Eukaryota, Metazoa, Chordata, Actinopteri, Salmoniformes, Salmonidae. The record is from Ensembl.
GGGAAGAUGGAGGAGAAGUUUCCCUCGGGGGAAGAUGGGAAGAUGGAGGAGAAGUUUCCCUCGGGGGGAAGAUGGAGGAGAAGUUUCCCUCGGGGGGAAGAUGGAGGAGAAGUUUCCCUUGGAGGCAGAGAGAAUACAGGUGAAACAGAGGUAGACCUCAGAAGGUAGGCUCAGAAGGUAGGCUACAGCGUAAGAUAGAUGACCCCCCCUCAGUAACAGAUGUGUUCUGUGUCUCUUACCCAGACAGGAUAGAUAUAUAUACCCACCCCCUCAGUACCAGAUGUGUUCUGUGUCUCUUAUCCAGACAGGAUACAUGACCCCCCUCAUAAAAACAGAUGUGUUCUGGGUCU